CGCGCAGGCGGUCGUAUAAGUCGCGUGUGAAAGCCCCCGGCUCAACUGGGGAGGGUCACGCGAUACUGUUCGACUCGAAGGCAGGAGAGGGAAGUGGAAUUCCCGGUGUAGUGGUGAAAUGCGUAGAUAUCGGGAGGAACACCAGUGGCGAAGGCGACUUCCUGGCCUGUUCUUGACGCUGAGGCGCGAAAGCUAGGGUAGCAAACG
This 207-nucleotide ribosomal RNA is filed under the name uncultured bacterium. RNAcentral describes it as "partial 16S ribosomal RNA". It matches the Rfam family "Bacterial small subunit ribosomal RNA", at positions 568 to 774 of the family's 1533-position model. The record is from RNAcentral.